RNAcentral lists this small RNA (738 nucleotides) under Pongo abelii (Sumatran orangutan). RNAcentral's name for it is "sense intronic". The record is from RNAcentral. Lineage: Eukaryota; Metazoa; Chordata; Mammalia; Primates; Hominidae.
ACAAAAAGUUCAAAAUAGAAUUUACUUUCAAAAUUGUUUGUUCCCCCAGAGCUAGUUAAUAAACUCCAUUUGCAGAUAAAAGCAUACUUUCCCUUCAAAGGUAUUUCACCAAGACGGGAAACACAAAUCUAAAUAAGCUGGGAAACUGAGGAUACACAGAGGGUCUCCUUAAUCUCUGGAUAUGUGGUCUAAUGUAUCCUUUUUGUGCUCAUUUUUUCCCUUUUAUCCAGAAAUAUAACAUUACCUUUUUAUAAAAUUCCUGGAGAUUGAUCAUAUCUCUAGUGUUUGGGUCUAGAAUGUAUUUCUUGGCUAAAACAUCUCUUUACGCCACUUCCACAUGUGGAAAGAAAGAAAACAUGGGACUCUAAUCUCACAAGUGAGGCAUGGGGUUGUUUCCUGAAAUGAGACAAGGACUUUGGACAAGAACAUGUUUGGGCUUGAGAUGGUUUUCGUAAACCCAAAUGAUAUUAGUUCUAGUCUGUCUUUAUUGCUCACUGUAUUUUGUUUUCAUUCAUACUGAUGAAUAAUAGACUUGAUUGUGUUCCAUCAUUUAUGUCAUUAAUAUUUCCUUUAUGUUUGAGUGCUGUGCAGUUCUCCUUGAAACUUGUAUGGAGAUUGAACUUGAUAGUGAUUUAAAGUAAUUAAUUCAUAUGUCAGUUGUUAGCAAGGUCCAGUAAUUAAAAUCUACUUUAGAAUAAGUUAUUAACUCUCCAAAAUAAAAAUGCUUUAUCAACUUAC